RNAcentral lists this long non-coding RNA (1051 nucleotides) under Oryctolagus cuniculus (rabbit). Its description in RNAcentral is "lncRNA (ENSOCUG00000034492.1)". The record is from RNAcentral. Lineage: Eukaryota; Metazoa; Chordata; Mammalia; Lagomorpha; Leporidae.
CAGAGUCUUCUUUUUAGCAAACUUUGACUCAGGCCUCUGUAGGAAUAGAGUAGGGGCUCAGAAUGUGAUUGGAAGUGUGGGAUCCUAGGGGACAGGGUCCAGGUGGCCCAAGGGAAGUUACUAGAAGAAGCCAUUUAGAAAUCUUGGUCCCCUGGAGAAUCCAUUAGAAACAUCAGGGGCUGUCUUUCUAUGGCUCCUCUCAAAUUUUAAAUCCAUAUAUUUUUCUAGGAAGAGGGUCCAAACGUUUCAUAAGAUUUAUGAAGGUGUAUAUGCCCCCUUCCUAAUUAUUAAGAGCUAUUGAUCUCAGAGAAGAGGCAGAGUGCAUAUGCUUUAGGCAAUUCUCCAGAAAAAAUGAUUUCUUGUCAUUGAGCUUUAGAUAAAGAUUGGAGAACAGAGAAAUUGAAAUUAUGUUCUUUGGCACAAGCCUGGAAUGCAAAUGUUCAAUAUUGACAAAUAAGUGAAGAUUCGUAUGCUUUAUAUCUAUAAUUAUAAUAUGAUUUCCUCCUUUUUCCCUCCUUCUCUUCUUUGUUGGUAUCCUUUGAUUUUCCCAUUAUUUAUAUAGGUAUAAUCAUUUCUGUUGAGACCCUGUUUUGACUUCAGAUGGACCUGAAAAUCACCAGCAAGUAGCAUUUUUAUUGUUUUCAUAAUCCAUGUAAACUUGAAAUAACUUUUUAUCUCUUAAGGAUAUUGUAAAAAUUAAACGAGAUAAUAUAUUUGGUCUAAAAGCACUUAGUAUAAUGCUUACCUUUUACUAAGGUCUCAUUAAAUGUUUGCAAUUAUUAUAAUAAUAAUUAUUAACUAUAGGUGUACUAUAGUGUGAUUGUAGGCUCUGGUUAUGCACCUUUAUCUUACUUGGAAGAGCAACCACCAUCCCGAAUGUCGAGUCACCACAGUGAUGGGAAAAAUCCCUGCAUGAUCUCCCACCUGCACUAACACAUCCCAGUGUGGGGACACUCAUGAGACGUCCAGUUGCCACUGGUUGGCCUGAGAAUCCCCAAAGGUAUACAGCACAUGGUAAUUUGAAGUUUUAUGGAAGAAUGAAUUUGAAAAU